Xyrichtys novacula (pearly razorfish) is the source of this 950-nucleotide non-coding RNA. The record is from the annotation of a GenBank genome assembly. Lineage: Eukaryota; Metazoa; Chordata; Actinopteri; Labriformes; Labridae.
CGUCGCUCCCAAAGUUCAAAUAUUUGAACUUUGGGAGCGACUAGCCGCGACUCCGUGCCGCGACAGCCAAUCAGGGCUCUGCUGACGUCAACAAACCGGCGAAGCAAGGAGGAGGAGGGGAAAAUCAAAAAUCAAACAAUGGAGGAACAGUUAAUCACGGCGGUAAGCUUCCACCCGGUCCUGUACGACGUGGGGUGCGGACUGUACCGGGACCGCACCUCCAAGGACGAGGCAUGGGUGAAGGUGGCCCAUGAUGUCGGGCUUUCUGGUAAGUUUGUUUGUGUAUUUAUUUCAGUGAGCGGACAGUUUUAUGAAAACAUAGCUAACUGCCCCUGUAUGCUAGGCUACAUGUUUCAACGUAUGUGUGUGUGUCUUUGCAGUGGAUGUGUGCUGCAAGCGGUGGAAGGGGCUGCGGGACGUUUACUUGAGGGAGAAAAGGAGGGAGAAAGAAGGCGGGAGAAGCGGGUCGGCGGCCUCCCAGCAGAGGAAGUGGCGUUUCACUGCGGUGAUGUCCUUCCUCGACCCCUUUAUUGCCCCGAGGGACACAUCAAGCAACAUGUCUCGGGAGGUCGAGGAAGACUUCACCGCAGAAAAUGCUGCUUCUUCUGCUGGGAUGCCUGAAGACCUGGAGGAAGCAGGCCCCUCAGGAGUGGAGUUUGACGGUUGGUUGAUGAGUGAAAAACAUAGCAAAUAAAUUUGAGUCCCCUCAUGGUUUAAACACACCAUUGUAGUCUAAUUUAAGAUGGACAGAUCAAGUCAUGCACAUGUAAUGUGUGAACAUUUUUUAUUUGAAUAACAAUGUUGCCUGAUUGCAGAGUUUUGAUUUCAGACAUUUUUGUCACAACUUUAACUAAAGAUAAGCCUGCUCCCUCUCCUGCUUCAGCUCCCUCUCCUGCAGCAGCUCCCUCUCCUGCCCCAGCUCCAUCUCCUGCUUCAGCUCCCUCUCCUGC